Molecule: ribosomal RNA, 800 nt
Filed under: uncultured bacterium
Lineage: Bacteria
Description: bacterial SSU rRNA
Rfam family: Bacterial small subunit ribosomal RNA
Source: RNAcentral
AGAUGAACCCUAGCGGCAGGGCUAAUACCUGGAAGUCCAACGGAAUAAGUUAUGACAAUAUUGCCUUGAGAGUGGCGCACGGGUGCGUAACACGCAUGCGAUCUGCCCCUAACAGGAAUAUAGCCCGGCGAAAGUCGGAUUAAUACUCCAUAACAUUGUACCGUGGAAUCACACAGAAAUUAAUGCUCUUGUGGUUAGGGAUGAGCAUGCGCGACAUUAGCUAGAUGGUGAGGAAACGGCUCACCAUGGCUACGAUGUCUAGGGGGACUGACAGGAUUAUCCCCCACACUGGAACUGAGACCCUUACCACACUCCUACGGGAGGCACUCCUACGGAAUAUUGGGCAGUGGACUCUAGUCUGACCCACCCAUGCCUGGUGCAGGAUGACUGCCCUAUGGAUUGAAGACUGCUUUUGUACAGGAACAAACCCCUUUACAUGUACAGGGGUGACAUUACUGUGAGAAUAACGAUCGUAUAUCUCCGUGCCAGCACCCGCGAAAAUACGGAGGAUCCAAGCGUUGUCCGGAUUUAUUGGGUUUAAAGGGUGCGUAGGCGGACCAUUAAGUCAGAGGUGAAAGUUUGCAGCUUAACUGUAAAAUUGCCUUUGAAACUGGACUUCUUGAGUAUAGAUGAGGUGGGCGGAAUGUGUCAUGUAGCGGUGACAUGCUUAUAUAUGAUACAGAACACCGAUUGCGAAGGUUUCUCACUAAACUGUGACUGACGCUGACGAACGAAAGCGUGGGGAGCGAGCAUGAUUAGAUAGCCUGUCAACCCCCGACCUAAACAGUGCAUACUCUCGG